CUUUAAACAUCAAGUACUUAAUCUUGAUUUUGUUCCAAUUUUUCUUUCAUAUAGUCCCUAUUUAUUCAUUUUUCUCCGAUUGCUCCCGUAGAAAUUUGUAUGGAAAAAGGCAAUAAAUUAGAGUCACUGUUGCGCUUCGAUUUGAGUAGCGACUUCAGCGCUGUACGUUGCCGAUAAGAAUUUUUUGGGGCUGAGAUUCUGGCAUUUUCAAUUUUUUUCCUUUGAUUUUUAUGCAUUCAGAUGCCCCUACAUGUUUUCAGUUAUAUGAUUUUUUUUA
Molecule: long non-coding RNA, 277 nt
Organism: Hibiscus syriacus
Lineage: Eukaryota; Viridiplantae; Streptophyta; Magnoliopsida; Malvales; Malvaceae
Exons: 3
Source: RefSeq, a predicted model, not a curated record